Molecule: long non-coding RNA, 446 nt
Organism: Pan troglodytes (chimpanzee)
Lineage: Eukaryota; Metazoa; Chordata; Mammalia; Primates; Hominidae
Exons: 3
Source: RefSeq, a predicted model, not a curated record
UGUCCAGAGUGAAGUGAGGUUUAGUCUGUAAGGAAGAAGGUGAAGGUGACAGUCAAUUUCAUGAAGGGUACACAACAGCCUGCUACAGAAAGGAAAGAGAGAAAAGAUGGAAGGACAAAAGGAAGAAUUCACUCCUUUGAGGCACAAUAUUGUGCCUUCAAGAUACCAAGUUUAAAAAGAGAAUACUCUUUAAUAAGGUAAGAAGACUGGUGGUGCUGCUGGAAUAAAAGGAGUGAUGGAAGACAGAUGACGGUGUGAGGAGAAAAGGUAAGAACAAAGUCUUUAAUAGCAGUUUGGAGGAGAAAAUGCCCUUUACUUAGGAGCGAGGUCUUAGAACACUGAAAUCAGUGUUUGCAAAGGACAAGAGACCCAGAGGAGGUCCACUUAAUGCUAUUCCAAAUCUCAAGCCAACAACCUCCCACCCGCUUGAUAUCUUUCAGCAUUCU